AAGGGGUGGGGACACGUUGCGUCCGUGGUGCUGUUUGUGCAGGUGGCCUCUGGGAGGGCAGUUUCCAGAGAUGAAUUUCCUUCUCCUUGCCUGGCCCACCACUGCCUAGCCCCGUGGGCUCUGAGGCUGACGGAGAGAGACCCGCCACACCCCUGGGACACUUUGAAUCAAAGCCACCCAGAGUCAGAGUUUGGACGAUCAAGGUGGACCUACCCGCUCAGAAAGAGUGUGGGGCUUCUGUCAAGGGAGACCUCAACGACCUUCCUCUGAAAAGAAAAAUGUCCUUGCAAGUAGGUAAAUAA
This 302-nucleotide small RNA is filed under the name Pongo abelii (Sumatran orangutan). Its description in RNAcentral is "sense overlapping". The record is from RNAcentral. Lineage: Eukaryota; Metazoa; Chordata; Mammalia; Primates; Hominidae.